The sequence is a regulatory RNA element, 43 nucleotides long. It matches the Rfam family "Coronavirus 3' stem-loop II-like motif (s2m)". From Rfam's summary of the family: The seed alignment was expanded in 2020 by Eric Nawrocki. The record is from Rfam.
GGAAGCCGCGGCCACGCCGAGUAGGAACGAGGGUACAGCUUCC